Molecule: transfer RNA, 90 nt
Filed under: Xylaria palmicola
Lineage: Eukaryota; Fungi; Ascomycota; Sordariomycetes; Xylariales; Xylariaceae
Description: tRNA-Thr
Rfam family: tRNA
About the family: Transfer RNA (tRNA) molecules are approximately 80 nucleotides in length. Their secondary structure includes four short double-helical elements and three loops (D, anti-codon, and T loops).
Source: RNAcentral
GCCCCUAUGGCGUAGUGGUAGCGCGUGUCACUUGUAUCCACUGAUUGCAAGAAUAUGACAAGGUCUCUCGUUCGAUCCGGGAUGGGGGCA